RNAcentral lists this ribosomal RNA (431 nucleotides) under uncultured bacterium. Its description in RNAcentral is "partial 16S ribosomal RNA". It matches the Rfam family "Bacterial small subunit ribosomal RNA", at positions 29 to 507 of the family's 1533-position model. The record is from RNAcentral.
AACGAACGCUGGCGGCAGGCCUAACACAUGCAAGUCGAGCGGACCUUUCGGGGUCAGCGGCGGACGGGUGAGUAACGCGUGGGAAUAUGCCCUUCUCUACGGAAUAGUCCUGGGAAACUGGGGGUAAUACCGUAUACGCCCUUUGGGGGAAAGAUUUAUCGGGGAAGGAUUAGCCCGCGUUGGAUUAGGUAGUUGGUGGGGUAAUGGCCUACCAAGCCGACGAUCCAUAGCUGGUUUGAGAGGAUGAUCAGCCACACUGGGACGGAGACACGGCCCAGACUCCUGCGGGGGAGCGGUGUGGGGUCUCAUACACUGUGGGCAACCCUGAUCUAGCCAUGCCGCGUGAGUGAUGAAGGCCUUAGGGUUGUAAAGCUCUUUCAGCUGGGAAGAUAAUGACGGUACCAGCAGAAGAAGCCCCGGCUAACUCCGUG